GAAUCUUGCGCAAUGGACGAAAGUCUGACGCAGCGACGCCGCGUGGGGGAUGAAGGCCUUCGGGUUGUAAACCCCUUUUGGUGGGAAAGAAACACUCCGAUGUUAACAGCAUCGGGGCUUGACGGUACCCACAGAAAAAGCCACGGCUAACUCUGUGCCAGCAGCCGCGGUAAGACAGAGGUGGCAAGCGUUGUCCGGAAUUACUGGGCGUAAAGCGCGCGUAGGUGGCUAGAUAUGUCCGGUGUGAAAUCCCACGGCUUAACCGGGGAACGGCACCGGAUACUGUAUAGCUCGAGGACGGGAGAGGAGAGCGGAAUUCCCGGUGUAGCGGUGAAAUGCGUAGAGAUCGGGAGGAAGGCCGGUGGCGAAGGCGGCUCUCUAGAACGUCCCUGACGCUGAGGCGCGAAAGCGUGGGGAGCAAACAG
This 425-nucleotide ribosomal RNA is filed under the name uncultured bacterium. Its description in RNAcentral is "bacterial SSU rRNA". It matches the Rfam family "Bacterial small subunit ribosomal RNA", at positions 359 to 775 of the family's 1533-position model. The record is from RNAcentral.